This 945-nucleotide ribosomal RNA is filed under the name Microbacterium sp. H1R44. RNAcentral describes it as "bacterial SSU rRNA". It matches the Rfam family "Bacterial small subunit ribosomal RNA", at positions 547 to 1488 of the family's 1533-position model. Lineage: Bacteria; Bacillati; Actinomycetota; Actinomycetes; Micrococcales; Microbacteriaceae. The record is from RNAcentral.
GGAAUUAUUGGGCGUAAAGAGCUCGUAGGCGGUUUGUCGCGUCUGCUGUGAAAUCCCGAGGCUCAACCUCGGGCCUGCAGUGGGUACGGGCAGACUAGAGUGCGGUAGGGGAGAUUGGAAUUCCUGGUGUAGCGGUGGAAUGCGCAGAUAUCAGGAGGAACACCGAUGGCGAAGGCAGAUCUCUGGGCCGUAACUGACGCUGAGGAGCGAAAGGGUGGGGAGCAAACAGGCUUAGAUACCCUGGUAGUCCACCCCGUAAACGUUGGGAACUAGUUGUGGGGUCCAUUCCACGGAUUCCGUGACGCAGCUAACGCAUUAAGUUCCCCGCCUGGGGAGUACGGCCGCAAGGCUAAAACUCAAAGGAAUUGACGGGGACCCGCACAAGCGGCGGAGCAUGCGGAUUAAUUCGAUGCAACGCGAAGAACCUUACCAAGGCUUGACAUAUACGAGAACGGGCCAGAAAUGGUCAACUCUUUGGACACUCGUAAACAGGUGGUGCAUGGUUGUCGUCAGCUCGUGUCGUGAGAUGUUGGGUUAAGUCCCGCAACGAGCGCAACCCUCGUUCUAUGUUGCCAGCACGUAAUGGUGGGAACUCAUGGGAUACUGCCGGGGUCAACUCGGAGGAAGGUGGGGAUGACGUCAAAUCAUCAUGCCCCUUAUGUCUUGGGCUUCACGCAUGCUACAAUGGCCGGUACAAAGGGCUGCAAUACCGUGAGGUGGAGCGAAUCCCAAAAAGCCGGUCCCAGUUCGGAUUGAGGUCUGCAACUCGACCUCAUGAAGUCGGAGUCGCUAGUAAUCGCAGAUCAGCAACGCUGCGGUGAAUACGUUCCCGGGUCUUGUACACACCGCCCGUCAAGUCAUGAAAGUCGGUAACACCUGAAGCCGGUGGCCUAACCCUUGUGGAGGGAGCCGUCGAAGGUGGGAUCGGUAAUUAGGACUAAGUCG